This 84-nucleotide microRNA precursor is filed under the name Tupaia belangeri (northern tree shrew). RNAcentral describes it as "miRNA (ENSTBEG00000017830.1)". It matches the Rfam family "mir-684 microRNA precursor family". Lineage: Eukaryota; Metazoa; Chordata; Mammalia; Scandentia; Tupaiidae. The record is from RNAcentral.
CCAUCUGCUGGUCUGAGGGGUAAAUUACUCUUAAAGAAAAAAAAAAGAAUCCUAGAUAGUUUGCCCUUCAAGUCAAGUGUCUUG